CAAGUACCGUGAGGGAAAGUUGCAAAGAACUUUGAGGAGAGAGUUCAAGAGGGCGUGAAACUGCCAAGGAUGAAGCGGAUAGAGUUAACGGAAAUCGGUGGCAUUCAGCGAAUGGGGCGAAUGCGGUUGCAGGAUUGGUACUCGUGAAACGGUACGAGAAUGUGACAUGCUUUGGUGUCGUUGGCGCAUUUGCCACUGAUGAGCGCUGGGUGUUUUGUCGUUUAAUGCUGACCCGAGCUUAGUGGACCAAGCGUUCGCGUUUGGGAACCUGUGCUCGGCUAGGCUUGUGAAUGAUAAUGCGUUGUGUUAUACGCCUCGUGUUAUGCGUUGAGUUGAUUAUCUGUUGUUCGUAGUGUUAUGCGGUGGCAUGCGACUUGYUGGUGGUAUGAUUUCGGUGAUCGCUUUGACGAGUUUGAGGUGAGUCCUAGUGUGAGCGUUGGUCACCUAUCCGACCCGUCUUGAAACACGGACCAAGGAGUCUGGCACGUGCGCAAGUCACUAGUUGGUAAAUCGGAGAGGCGAAAUGAAAGUGAAAGCCGACUCGAUCGGCCGCUAUGGGAUUCGCGCUUUAUGUUUUGGCGCGACGCACCAUAGCCCCGUCUUUGUUGCUUGCAAUAGGGCGGAGGUAGAGCGUACAUGCCGGUACCCGAAAGAUGGUGAACUAUGCCUGAGCAGGAUGAAGCCAGAGGAAACUCUGGUGGAAGCUCGAAGCGGUUCUGACGUGCAAAUCGAUCGUCUGACUUGGGUAUAGGGGCGAAAGACUAAUCGAACCAUCUAGUAGCUG
RNAcentral lists this ribosomal RNA (784 nucleotides) under Anguillicola papernai. Its description in RNAcentral is "LSU rRNA". It matches the Rfam family "Eukaryotic large subunit ribosomal RNA", at positions 345 to 953 of the family's 3401-position model. The record is from RNAcentral. Lineage: Eukaryota; Metazoa; Nematoda; Chromadorea; Rhabditida; Anguillicolidae.